RNAcentral lists this ribosomal RNA (467 nucleotides) under uncultured bacterium. RNAcentral describes it as "partial 16S ribosomal RNA". It matches the Rfam family "Bacterial small subunit ribosomal RNA", at positions 28 to 507 of the family's 1533-position model. The record is from RNAcentral.
GACGAACGCUGGCGGCGUGCUUAACACAUGCAAGUCGACGGAAAGGCCCUGCUUUUGUGGGGUGCUCGAGUGGCGAACGGGUGAGUAACACGUGAGUAACCUGCCCUUGACUUUGGGAUAACUUCAGGAAACUGGGGCUAAUACCGGAUAGGAGCUCCUGCUGCAUGGUGGGGGUUGGAAAGUUUCGGCGGUUGGGGAUGGACUCGCGGCUUAUCAGCUUGUUGGUGGGGUAGUGGCUUACCAAGGCUUUGACGGGUAGCCGGCCUGAGAGGGUGACCGGCCACAUUGGGACUGAGAUACGGCCCAGACUCCUACGGGAGGCAGCAGUGGGGAAUAUUGCACAAUGGGCGGAAGCCUGAUGCAGCAACGCCGCGUGCGGGAUGACGGCCUUCGGGUUGUAAACCGCUUUCGCCUGUGACGAAGCGUGAGUGACGGUAAUGGGUAAAGAAGCACCGGCUAACUACGUG